This is a non-coding RNA of Pelobates cultripes (western spadefoot toad), 217 nucleotides long. NCBI's taxonomy places the organism in Eukaryota, Metazoa, Chordata, Amphibia, Anura, Pelobatidae. The record is from the annotation of a GenBank genome assembly.
UAUUGGUUCUUGCACAUUUUUAGUGUUAGUUUAAGUAAGAUUAGGCUAUAGCAGGACUUUGCACAAUUCUUGGCACAUUAGAUACAGUCUAAACAACAGGCUAUACAAAAAUGUCUGACCACUUGUAUUCUAUCCUAUUCUGCUUAAGUCAUCGACUUCAAAGUGGAUGCGUAAUACUAUAAUUAGGCUUAGUCUGCACGUUUGCCGGACUGUUGAC